RNAcentral lists this long non-coding RNA (283 nucleotides) under Brassica rapa (field mustard). Its description in RNAcentral is "long non-coding RNA (BRAP_LNC003593)". Lineage: Eukaryota; Viridiplantae; Streptophyta; Magnoliopsida; Brassicales; Brassicaceae. The record is from RNAcentral.
UUAGGGUUAGAUUUUGAAAUCUUAUCUUUUGUUUUUUUUUUUUAACUUUUUGACAUAUAUUUGUUUAGUGACUAUCUAAUAACUUGAUUUAAACAGUUUCUAAGUAUCUUAAAAGCUUAAGGAAGUUUUUUUUUGUUUAGUUAUUUGAUUAUAGGGUCUGGAAGACUCACAGAAUACUUCCCAAGAAGUCUAAUGACAUAUCUCACCUAAAUUUUAGUAGAAUUUAGGGUUUCCGCCUAACUUUUAAAAUAAUUUAGGUUUCCUGCCAAAAUUGAAGUCUUCC